AUGAAUUGUCCGUCGUUGGUAAAGAAUCCGGAUCGUCAAGUGGACAAGCCGGAGGUGAUACACGCUUGAAGGGUGCGCUUUAAAGUUUCUAGGUAAUACAUGUAUGGGGGAUGAUGAUCAAGCAAAAGCAAUCGAACCGAACACACCAAUCAACGCUUCCGCACUUGAUCUAUUUUGUUUUAUGAUUAUGUAAACACUUUUAGUUGUGUUAUGAAUGUUUGAUUGUAGAAUUUUAAGUU
Molecule: long non-coding RNA, 239 nt
Filed under: Helianthus annuus (common sunflower)
Lineage: Eukaryota; Viridiplantae; Streptophyta; Magnoliopsida; Asterales; Asteraceae
Description: sRNA HanXRQr2_Chr09g0402971
Source: RNAcentral